Molecule: ribosomal RNA, 488 nt
Filed under: Salmonella enterica subsp. enterica serovar Telaviv
Lineage: Bacteria; Pseudomonadati; Pseudomonadota; Gammaproteobacteria; Enterobacterales; Enterobacteriaceae
Description: bacterial SSU rRNA
Rfam family: Bacterial small subunit ribosomal RNA
Source: RNAcentral
GAUUGAACGCUGGCGGCAGGCCUAACACAUGCAAGUCGAACGGUAACAGGAAGCAGCUUGCUGCUUUGCUGACGAGUGGCGGACGGGUGAGUAAUGUCUGGGAAACUGCCUGAUGGAGGGGGAUAACUACUGGAAACGGUGGCUAAUACCGCAUAACGUCGCAAGACCAAAGAGGGGGACCUUCGGGCCUCUUGCCAUCAGAUGUGCCCAGAUGGGAUUAGCUUGUUGGUGAGGUAACGGCUCACCAAGGCGACGAUCCCUAGCUGGUCUGAGAGGAUGACCAGCCACACUGGAACUGAGACACGGUCCAGACUCCUACGGGAGGCAGCAGUGGGGAAUAUUGCACAAUGGGCGCAAGCCUGAUGCAGCCAUGCCGCGUGUAUGAAGAAGGCCUUCGGGUUGUAAAGUACUUUCAGCGGGGAGGAAGGUGUUGYGGUUAAUAACCGCAGCAAUUGACGUUACCCGCAGAAGAAGCACCGGCUAACUCC